GUGCCAGCAGCCGCGGUAAUACAGAGACUGCAAGCGUUAUUCGGAUUCACUGGGCGUAAAGGGUGCGCAGGCGGCCGAGUGUGUGAGGCGUGAAAGCCUGGAGCUCAACUCCAGAAUUGCACCUCAAACUACACGGCUAGAGCAUUGGAGAGGGUAGCGGAAUUCACGGUGUAGCAGUGAAAUGCGUAGAUAUCGUGAGGAACACCAGAGGCGAAGGCGGCUACCUGGACAAUUGCUGACGCUCAGGCACGAAAGCGUGGGGAGCAAAAGGGAUUAGAAACCCUUGUAGUCC
RNAcentral lists this ribosomal RNA (292 nucleotides) under uncultured bacterium. Its description in RNAcentral is "partial 16S ribosomal RNA". It matches the Rfam family "Bacterial small subunit ribosomal RNA", at positions 505 to 796 of the family's 1533-position model. The record is from RNAcentral.